UACGGAGGAUCCGAGCGUUAUCCGGAUUUAUUGGGUUUAAAGGGUGCGCAGGCGGGGGAUUAAGUCGGCGGUGAAAUUUUGCAGCUCAGCUGUAAAAGUGCCUUCGAAACUGGUAUCCUUGAGUGUGGAUGAGGUAGGCGGAAUUUGUGGUGUAGCGGUGAAAUGCAUAGAUAUCACGAGGAACUCCGAUUGCGCAGGCAGCUUACUAAACCAUAACUGACGCUCAGGCACGAAGGCGUGGGGAUCAAACAGGAUUAGAUACCCU
RNAcentral lists this ribosomal RNA (265 nucleotides) under uncultured prokaryote. Its description in RNAcentral is "partial 16S ribosomal RNA". It matches the Rfam family "Bacterial small subunit ribosomal RNA", at positions 524 to 788 of the family's 1533-position model. The record is from RNAcentral.